CUAAGGUCUUCGAUGACGAGGCCUCAGCCUCCCGCUCUGUAAAAUGGGCUUGAUCAUCCCUGUCUGGGUGAUCGAGCAUGUUAAGUAGGGAUAUAUGCAUGAAGACACCUUGAAACCUGCCCUGGGUCAUAAAUAUGUCAGGGAGGUUUGGAUCAUCUUAGCCAAAACAGCUGCUCGACAUCUGGGAUCAGAAGGCAGCUGUAAUCUGGCACUGAGGCCUCUGUGCUGAGUUGGAAGACACAACAAGGAACAACUUCUGAAAGAUGAGGAGGCUAGUAUGUUCACAAUUCUGAAGGACCUCCUAGAGACGAAGAGAAGACAGAAAAACAAGAGCAGGAGGCCGGGCGCGGUGGCUUACGCCUGUAAUCCCAGCACUUCCGGAGGCUGAGGCAAGUGGACUGUUUGCGCUCAGGAGUUUCACAGCAGCCAGCAGCCUGGGCAGCAUAGUGAGACCCUGUCUCUACUAAAAAUACAAAAAUUAGCCGGGUGUGGUGGUGUGCGCUUUAGUCCCAGCUACUCAGGAGGCUGAGCUGGGAGGUUGGCUUGAGCCCAGGAGGUGGAGGCUGCAGUGAGCCCACGUUGCACCACUGCACUCCAGCCUGGGUUGAUGGAGCCAAACCCUGUCUCAAAAAAAAUAAACAAUAAAA
This 647-nucleotide long non-coding RNA is filed under the name Pan troglodytes (chimpanzee). RNAcentral describes it as "long non-coding RNA NONPTRT012061". The record is from RNAcentral. Lineage: Eukaryota; Metazoa; Chordata; Mammalia; Primates; Hominidae.